Molecule: ribosomal RNA, 938 nt
Filed under: uncultured archaeon 20b-27
Lineage: Archaea
Description: bacterial SSU rRNA
Rfam family: Archaeal small subunit ribosomal RNA
Source: RNAcentral
CUGGUUGAUCCUGCCGGACCCGACUGCUAUCGGAGUGAGACUAAGCCAUGCGAGUCGUGCGCUCCGGGCUGGCGGAGCGCGGCGUACGGCUCAGUAACACGUGGUCAACCUACCCUGCGGACGGCUAUAACCCCGGGAAACUGGGGCUAAUAGCCGAUAGGGGAUAGGUGCUGGAAGGCCUUGUCCUCGAAAGGCCUAACCACCCAUGCCGUGGUUAGGCGCCGCAGGAUGGGACUGCGCCCUAUCAGGUAGACGGUGGGGUAACGGCCCACCGUGCCUGUAACGGGUGCGGGCCCUGGGAGGGGGAGCCCGGAGAUGGGCACUGAGACAAGGGCCCAGGCCCUACGGGGUGCAGCAGGCGCGAAAACUCCGCUAUGCGCGAAAGCGCGACGGGGUCACUCCGAGUGCCGCCCGCUGAGGGCGGCUUUUGCCCAGUCCAAAAGGCUGGGUGAAUAAGGGGAGGGCAAGUUUGGUGUCAGCCGCCGCGGUAAUACCAACUCCCCGAGUGGUCGGGACGAUUAUUGGGCUUAAAGCGUCCGUAGCCGGCCCGGUGUGUCUCUGGUCAAAUCCGGCGUUUCAAGCGCCGGACCGCCGGAGAUACUACUGGGCUAGGGAGCGGGAGAGGCGGGCGGUAUUCCCUGGGUAGGGGUAAAAUCCUAAGAUCCAGGGAGGACCAUCGGUGGCGAAGGCGGCCCGCUAGAACGCGUCCGACGGUGAGGGACGAAAGCUGGGGGAGCGAUCCGGAUUAGAUACCCGGGUAGUCCCAGCCGUAAACGAUGCAGGCUAGGUGUGUGGGCACCUUAGGGGUGCCCAUGUGCCGAAGGGAAGCCGUUAAGCCUGCCGCCUGGGGAGUACGGCCGCAAGGCUGAAACUUAAAGGAAUUGGCGGGGGAGCACCACAAGGGGUGGAGCCUGCGGUUCAAUUGGAGUCAACGCCGG